RNAcentral lists this ribosomal RNA (250 nucleotides) under uncultured bacterium. RNAcentral describes it as "partial 16S ribosomal RNA". It matches the Rfam family "Bacterial small subunit ribosomal RNA", at positions 524 to 773 of the family's 1533-position model. The record is from RNAcentral.
CACGAACCGUACAAACGUUAUUCGGAAUUACUGGGCUUAAAGGGUGCGUAGGCGGCUCAGAAAGUUGGGUGUGAAAGCCCUCGGCUCAACCGAGGAACUGCGCUCAAUACUACUGGGCUUGAGGAAGACAGAGGUGAGCGGAACUACGGGUGGAGCGGUGAAAUGCGUUGAUAUCCGUAGGAACACCAGGGGCGAAAGCGGCUCACUGGGUCUUUUCUGACGCUGAGGCACGAAAGCCAGGGGAGCGAAC